UGGGGGAUAUUGCACAAUGGGGGAAACCCUGAUGCAGCAACGCCGCGUGAAGGAUGAAGGUUUUCGGAUUGUAAACUUCUGUUCUUAGUGACGAUAAUGACGGUAGCUAAGAAGAAAGCUCCGGCUAACUACGUGCCAGCAGCCGCGGUAAUACGUAGGGAGCGAGCGUUGUCCGGAUUUACUGGGUGUAAAGGGAGCGCAGGCGGGAAGACAAGUUGGAAGUGAAAUCCAUGGGCUCAACCCAUGAACUGCUUUCAAAACUGUUUUUCUUGAGUAGUGCAGAGGUAGGCGGAAUUCCCGGUGUAGCGGUGGAAUGCGUAGAUAUCGGGAGGAACACCAGUGGCGAAGGCGGCCUACUGGGCACCAACUGACGCUGAGGCUCGAAAGUGUGGGUAGCAAACAGGAUUAGAUACCCUGGUAGUCCACACCGUAAACGAUGAUUACUAGGUGUUGGAGGAUUGACCCCUUCAGUGCCGCAGUUAACACAAUAAGUAAUCCACCUGGGGAGUACGACCGCAAGGUUGAAACUCAAAGGAAUUGACGGGGGCCCGCACAAGCAGUGGAGUAUGUGGUUUAAUUCGACGCAACGCGAAGAACCUUACCAAGUCUUGACAUCCUGCGACGAUGCUGGAAACAGUAUUUUCCUUCGGGACGCAGAGACAGGUGGUGCAUGGUUGUCGUCAGCUCGUGUCGUGAGAUGUUGGGUUAAGUCCCGCAACGAGCGCAACCCUUAUGGUCAGUUACUACGCAAGAGGACUCUGGCCAGACUGCCGUUGACAAAACGGAGGAAGGUGGGGAUGACGUCAAAUCAUCAUGCCCUUUAUGACUUGGGCUACACACGUACUACAAUGGCGUUAAACAAAGAGAAGCAAGACCGCGAGGUGGAGCAAAACUCAGAAACAACGUCCCAGUUCGGACUGCAGGCUGCAACUCGCCUGCACGAAGUCGGAAUUGCUAGUAAUCGCAGAUCAGCAUGCUGCGGUGAAUACGUUCCC
Molecule: ribosomal RNA, 995 nt
Filed under: uncultured bacterium
Lineage: Bacteria
Description: bacterial SSU rRNA
Rfam family: Bacterial small subunit ribosomal RNA
Source: RNAcentral